Molecule: ribosomal RNA, 463 nt
Filed under: uncultured bacterium
Lineage: Bacteria
Description: partial 16S ribosomal RNA
Rfam family: Bacterial small subunit ribosomal RNA
Source: RNAcentral
GACGAACGCUGGCGGCGUGCUUAACACAUGCAAGUCGAACGGAAAGGCCCAGCUUGCUGGGUGCUCGAGUGGCGAACGGGUGAGUAACACGUGGGUGAUCUGCCCCUAACUUCGGGAUAAGCUUGGGAAACUGGGUCUAAUACCGGAUAGGACAAUCGUUUAGUGUCGGUUGUGGAAAGUUUUUUCGGUUAGGGAUGAGCCCGCGGCCUAUCAGCUUGUUGGUGGGGUAAUGGCCUACCAAGGCGUCGACGGGUAGCCGGCCGGAGAGGGUGGACGGCCACAUGGGGACAGAGAGACGCCCCAGCCCCCGCCGGGAGGAAGGGGUGGGAAUUUUUGCACAUGGGGCGCAGGCUUGCUGCACGCACGCCGGGGGGGGUAUGACGCCCUCGGGGUGUAAACCUCUUCCGCCGGGAACGAACUUUUGGGGACGUACCCUUAAAAAGAACCCCCGCCUACCUCCGCC